CCCCCCUUUUUUUUUUGUGGCCACUCUUUUUUUUCCUUUUUAGUAUUUUUCUUUUUGUUCCUUUCAUUUCAUUUUAUCAUUAUAUUUUCUAUAUUUGAGAAAGAAAAGCUUAACUUGAUAAUUGAUGUGUGUGAGUUUAUUUUUUAAAUUAUAUAAAUAUAAUUAAUCCUAUGACACACAAAUACAAUUGGACUUGUAUCAACAAGUCCCACAGAAAGCAAAGAAGGUUUACCAUCGAACUUAUGACGAUAUAAGUCGGGUAUCG
Molecule: long non-coding RNA, 265 nt
Filed under: Gossypium raimondii (Peruvian cotton)
Lineage: Eukaryota; Viridiplantae; Streptophyta; Magnoliopsida; Malvales; Malvaceae
Description: long non-coding RNA (GRAI_LNC009118)
Source: RNAcentral